This 97-nucleotide signal recognition particle RNA is filed under the name Alphaproteobacteria bacterium. Its description in RNAcentral is "signal recognition particle sRNA small type". It matches the Rfam family "Bacterial small signal recognition particle RNA". From Rfam's summary of the family: The signal recognition particle (SRP) is a universally conserved ribonucleoprotein involved in the co-translational targeting of proteins to membranes. Archaeal SRP consists of a 7S RNA and homologues of the eukaryotic SRP19 and SRP54 proteins. In most bacteria, the SRP consists of a 4.5S RNA and the Ffh protein (a homologue of the eukaryotic SRP54 protein). Lineage: Bacteria; Pseudomonadati; Pseudomonadota; Alphaproteobacteria. RNAcentral also lists the same sequence under 1 other name. The record is from RNAcentral.
GAAGGCUGGCGGCGGGCGGUGCCCUCGCCAACCCGGUCAGGUCCGGAAGGAAGCAGCCGUAACGAGUUCGCUCCGGGUCGCCUGUCCAGUCUUCCAC